GCUCCUCCUUGGUCCCCGCGCCAUGGCGCGUCCGCGUUGACCGCUGUCUUCCCUUUCGGGCUGUGCUGAUCGCGAACGCUGCGCAGUCCGUGGUGGCGUCGAGGCACCUUUCUCGUGCCUUUACCUGUGUUCACUCCUUUGCUUUAAAAAACAGCCCUAGAAGUACACAUCGUUGGCCCCGAAGGAGCCCCAGCAGCCAUGUCGGACCGCGAGGUGACCUUGGAGGGCGGGAGGACGGACGAGGGGCCUGGCGGAGCUAGACUGAGAGGGCGCCGCCGGCGUCCUGAAGGCCCUGCUCCCCGAAUGUGUGGGAGUGUGUCUGACGGUGCGAGGGUGGCUGUGGCGGGGCCUGAGCAGCGUGUCCGUGUCCCGAUGCCGCCCGCCUGUUACUGAGUUAGGCAGGAGUGCCCGAGUCUGGCGAACUUCAGCAGUUCUCGUUCCAGAGCUCCACACGAGGUUGGCCAAAGCUUUGCGGGACUUACAUACCCUUCUUCCUCCGCCCAGUCCUGCUUCCUUCCCCUUCCUUUCACGGGUGUUGAUACCAUGUCAACAUCCUCGUACCCCAAACUCAGUCGCAGCGUCUGCUUCUGGAGAAACCAUUCUGCAGCAUUAAAGCUGGUGAGAAGAUGGGAUUCGAGGCUGCAUCACUCACCAGUGGUGAAGUAGGAGGGUGAACUAGUGAAAUGGAAUCCACGAGUGGGUGAAGUAUCAGACAUUUCAUAUAUGGUGAACGUAGUAGAUAAAAGGAAGGAAAGGGGGAUUGGAUAGCUAUUGCUUAGUGCCAACCGAGACUCUUAAGAAUAGUGGUCAGCUGAAGGCAAGCAACAAACAGUUGUAAGCCAGUGAAUCUGUCCCGUUACAUAUAGAGAAGCUUCAUUUACUGCAGCAGGUCAAAGACAAGAACCAGGCCCAGGAAUUAACAUCCCUGUUUGACUGAACUCCAAAAAUAGCAAAACACCCAAACAAGGCAAUACUCUUCCACUAAGUUUGGAUCCCUGCUAAGAAAAGAUGAGGCUGGGCACAGUGGCUCACACCUGUAAUCCCAGCACUUUGGGAGGCCAAGGCGGGAAGAUUGCUUGAGUUCAGGAGUUCAAGACCAGCUUGGGCAACAUGACAAAACCCCAUCUCUACUGAAAACACAAAAAAUUAGCCGGGCAUGGUGGCCACGGCUGUGGUCCCAGCUGCUUGGGAGGCUAAGGUGGGUGGAUCACCUGAGCCCUGGAAGUCAGGGCUGGAGUGCAGUUGCUGGAUCAUGGCCCACUGUAGCCUCAACUUCCUGGGCUCAAACGAUCCUCCCACCUGAGCCUCCUAAGUAACUGGGACUACAGGUAUGUGUCACCACACCUGGAUACAUUUUUUAUUACUUGUAGAGGCAAGGUCUUGCUAUGUUGCCCGGGCUUGUCUCAAACUUCUAGGCUCCAGUGAGCCAUCACACCUGGCCUGCCUUGAACCUGAAGCCUGCCGGGGUGGCUCACCUCUCCUAUUAACCUGACACUACUCCUCCUCCCUCCACUUACUGCUCAGUAGAUGUAUAAUUAUGGUUGUUUCUUUUGCAUUAUUCAGCUGGAAACAAUGAGAUAGAAAAGAGAAUAUAGCUCCCUCCCCCUCAGAAGAACUGCGUUAUUAGUUUGCUGGGGCUUCAGUAACAAACUGGGCAGACAUUUAUUGUCUCCCAGUUCUGGAGGCUAGAAGUCUGAGAUCAAAGUUUUCACAGGGUUGGUUCCUUCUGGGGCUGGGAGGGAGAAUCUGUCUCAUGCCUCUCUCCCAGCUUCUGGUGGUUUGCUGGCAGUCUUUGGUUCCUUGGCUUAUAGAGGCAUUGUCCCAGUCCUGCCUUUAUAUUCACAUGGUGAUCUUGUUGUGUGUGUCUCUCCAGACGAAGGCAUAAGUAACAUCAUUGACAAAGGUCAUUCGACAUGGGCCUCUUUUUAGAAGGACACCAGUCAUACUGAUUAGGGCCCACUCUAAUGAGCGCAUCUUAACUUGUCUACAAAGACCCAUUUCCAAAUAAUGUCACAUUCACAUUGACCAGGGGUUAGGGCUUCAGCAUCUUUUGAGAGGGACACACUUCAGCCCAUAACAAGCUGUACCACCCAGCCAACAUGUACUGACAGGAGCUGGGAAAGUUUGGGGCUGGAUUAUGAGGGUGCUUGAUGAAGGGAGCUGGAAUGUAAACUUGCAUAGAUGUGUUUAUUGAAAUACGUGAUUUAACACCUUGGCAAAGAGUGGCUGCAGACUUCCUGCAAGGAUGGCUCCUAGAAUGGCGGUAUAGCUACUGCUGCCUAACAAAUUACUCCACACUUCGUGGCUUAAAACAAGAAUCAUUUCUUAUCUCUAGGUUACUGUGGGUCAGACAUAGUGGGGAUCGGUGAUCUCUCUAGGUUACUGUGGGUCAGACAUAGUGGGGAUUGGUUAUCUCUCUUCCACAGUGUCUGAGGCCUCAGCUGGAGCAGUUCAGAGGCUAGAGGUUGGAAUGAGUGAAGGUUCAUCUGCUCGAAUGUCUGACAGCUGAUACUGGAGAUUGGCUGCAGCCCAGAUUGGGGAUGUCAGCCAGCACACCCCUACACGGCCGGUCCCUGUGGCCGAGGCUUUCUCACAAUAUGAUGGCUGGAUUCCAAGGGCAAUCUAAAGACAAAGGACAAAAGAAAGCUCCAGAUGAGAAGUGCAGAAGAUCCUGGAGACAGCUGCUCCAGAGAGUGGCAUAUAAACCCUACAGGAAUCCAGGAGCCUGCUACAAUCCUAACAUUUUUAGGGCUCCAGUGGUCAGGGGUGCUCUAGGGCAUCCCUUCCAAAAGCGAAUGAAUUAUUGCUGCUUGCACCUCCUGCCGUUAAGAAAGCAAGACGCUUGUUGGUUCUCGAGCUAGUUCUUGCCUCAGGUUCUGGAGGCAGCAUGUCCCACACCUGGGAGUAUUGCUCUGGUCCAGAGACUAGUGGAAUUGGGAGAUUUCCAAUUUUGGAAAGAGCCCAGAACUGGAAACGUCUGUACAGUAGAUCCGGGUUGUGAUGAAGUAAUGCUAUUGCCUGGGCCAUAUAGUCCAACAGGUGUUUUUUUGGUGUUAUUAAUGGUGCAGAAUGAUGCAAUGUAGAGAUUCUGUCAUGCCACCUGGAGCAGAGAAUUGUAUGCAUUUGGGGGGCGGGCGGGUGUAGAUCUGUCUUCUGGUAUGCCACUUGUCUCUGACAGAGAUGGAACGCCUGACCGUAAGCCACCAGGUGACCAUGCAACCAGAACUGCCUGUUAAUGUUAAACUAGCAAAAGUCAUAACAUCAGUUGGGGCCAGCAACGGUCCCUCAUAAUAUGGAAGUAGUAUAUUCAAGGUUGAGCAUGAGAAUGUACAGAGGUUACCAAAUGAGCUGCAGAGCACAGAUGCACAUGACUUCCAGAACUGUUGGAUCAGCCACAAUGUCAUUUCACACCUGUGACAGUGUGAGGGGGCCCUUAUAGCCAGUUGACAGGAGUAAAAAUCGUGAGCAUGGUGUAUAAAUGGGUUGGCUCAGUAUGAGUUCAAAAUGAAAAUAGCAGCUACAUUACAGCCUUCUCAGGGGUGACCUUGAAAAAUGGUGAUAAGGGCAUAUCCUCUCAAUAGGCAGAAUUUCAGGCAGAGCUCCUGGUCGUCCACUUUUUUGUGGAAGAAGUAGCCCAAGGUGAGAAUAUACAUGGAGCCAUGGGCAAUGCUAGAGGGCCUGGGUAACUGGUUAAGGGCCUGGAAGGAAAACAAUCGGAAGUUGGAGAUAAGGAGGUGUGUGGUAGAUUUAUGUGGUCAGAUAAAUUGGAAUAGCACGAAGUACAAUGUUCUUUGUAUACAAUGUUAAUGCCCACCAGAGAGCAUCCAUGAAAGAAGCAUUAUACAACCAAGUAGACAGUUGACUCAGCCAGUUGAUAUUGGACAGCAUCUUUUAUUGGCUACUGUACUACUGGCAUGAUGGGCACAUGGACAAGGUAGCCAAGGUGAUGGACGCUGUUCAUGGGCCUGACAGCAACCCAUGCUCUCUACCCAGCUUUGGUUAAUAUCUAGCUGCCCCUGAAUAUCUAACCUGCCAGCAAAAGAGAUCUACCCGGCUUUGGUUAAUAUCUAGCUGCCCCUAAAUAUCUAACCUGCCAGCAAAAGAGACCAGUGCUAUACUCCCAUUGUGGGUCACUUCAUCAAGGAGCACAAACAUCCAGGUUUACAGAGGUCUUUAGACAUAGUCCCCAUUUUAUAAGGAGAGUUUACUGUAUUGGAACUCUCCCAUCCUGGAAGGGCUGGUGGUUCACUUUUCACAAGAAUAGUCUCAUAUUCCAGAUACGAGGCUUGUCUUUUCCUACUCACAAGUGUCAGCCAGAAAGGCUUAAGGAGUGUUUGUUUCACUGACAUAAGCACACAACAUUUCAAACGAGAUUCACUUUAUAGCCAAGGAAGUGUAGUGUCCAUGGGCCCUCCUGCCUGGCAGAGCGCUGAGACAGCAUGCUAAAGGCACAGCCUCCCAAAGGCAUGAGCCACUGAGCCCGGCACUGAAGACUUCCUUGAAACCGUUCUUUGCAAUCUUUCUGUUAUUGACCAGCUGGACAGUGCGUAACUGCAUGGGAAUGCUUGCAGAUCAGUAAAUUCAGACACCUUCCUUUCCACAUAAGAUGGACCACCAGCUGUACCCUCCCAAGUUUUGCCAGCUGGAAAUCUUCAAAAAUCCAACCCUAAACUAGGUUGUAGUGUAGCAACCAUCUUUUUGUUUGUUUUUUGAGACGGAGUCUCACUCGGUCUUCCAGGCUGGAGUGCAGUGGCGCGAUCUCAGCUCACUGCAACCUCUGCCUCCCGGGUUCAAGCGAUUCCCCUGCCUCCGCCUCCCGAGUAGCUGGGACUACAGGCACACGCCACCAUGCCCGGCUAAUUUUGUGUCUUUUAGUAGAGAUGGGAUUUCACCACGGUGGUCAGGAUAGUCUCAAUCUCCUGACCUCAUGAUCCGCCUGCCUUAGCCUCCCAAAGUGCUGGGAUUUCAGGUGUGAGUCACUAGUGUAGCAACUAUUUAUGGUUCAUGCCACCAUACCGUAUGGAUCCGUUGGUAGAACAAACCUGUAUUUUUUCGUCUUCUGUCAACUGGUCCUAGGGAGCGUCCCGUGAAACCACAGAUGUAGACUGAGGGGUGUGAAGUAGAAGAGGCGGCAGCAUGUGUUUGGUCACUCACUUGGGUCACAUACUUAUGCCUUCUGAAUCUGUUCAGGCAUAGUUUUGUGUAUAUUAUUUCCAGUUUCAGUGGAAUGCUGUUUAUGUCCAGUUUAAUGAUUUGUGUAUAGGCUGUCCUCCUAUGGUAUGCCUCAUGCUUCUGUGGGCUGUAUUGGGAUCAGAGUCUUGGGGGUCUGCAAGCAAGGUGGUAUUGUUGGGUUUUGAGAAUCAGCAUCUCUCUGUGAGGCACUGUAUUUGUUCUCACACUGCUAUAAAGAAAUGCCUGAGGCCAGGUGUGGUGGCUGAGGCCUGUAAUCCCAGCACUUUGGGAGGCCAAAGCCGGUGGAUCACCUGAGGUCAGGAGUUCGAGACCAGCCUGACCAAUAUGGUGAAACUCUGUCUCUACUAAAAGUACAAAAAUUAGUCGGGCCUGGUGGCGUGCACCUGUAGUCUCAGCUACUCAGGAGGCUGAGACAGGAUAAUUGCUUGAACCCGGGAGGCGGAGGUUGCAGUGAGCCAAGAUUGUGCCAUUUAAGCCUGGGUGACAGAGCAAGUCUCCAUCUAAAAAAAAAAAAUGCCUGAGACUGGAUAAUUUAUAAAGAAAAGAGGUAUAUUUGGCUCACGGUUCUGCAGGCUGUACAGUAAGCAUAGUGGCUUUUCCUUUGGGGAGGCCUCAGGAAGCUUCCAAUCAUGGCAGAAGACAAAGGGGGAGCAAGGCACUUCACAUGGCUGUAUUAGGAGGCAGAGAGAGGAUGGAGGUGCCACACACUUGAACAACCAGAUCUCGUGAGAACUCAUUCACUGUCUGAGGACAGCACCCAGGUGUUAAACCAUUCACGAGGAACUGUCCCCAUGAUCCAGUAACCUCCCACCAGGUCCCACCUCCAACAUUAGGGAUUAGAAUUCAGCAUGAGAUUGGGCAGACACACAGAUCCAAACCAUAUCAGGCAUCCAUCCCAGGUGCAGUCAUUAAAAGUUUUCUAUUCAGGCUUUUGAGGUGAUUGUGGUGGGGCCCCUUCAAGGUGGGGGCUGGACACCAGAGGACCCAACCACAUGAUUGGAGGAUUAGGAUUUUCAGCCCCACCCUCAAACCUCUGGAGAGGGGAGGGGGUUGGAGUUUAAGUUCAAUCAUGUGAUCAAUAAUCCAAUCCAUCAUGACUAUGUAAUGAGGCCUUGAUAAAAACUCUUAGCCAAUGAGGCUUACAGAGGUUCUGGGUUGUGCUGUGUUGCGGGAAGUCAGGGACCCCAAACCGAGGGACCGGCUGGAGCCGCGGCAGAGGGACAUAAAUUGUGAAGAUUUCAUGGACGUUUAUCACUUCCUAGUAAUACUCUUAUAAUUUCUUAUGCCUGUCUAAUCUCAAUCCUGUUAUCUUCGUAAGCUGAGGAUGUAUGUCACCUCAGGUCCACUGUGAUGAUUGCAUUAACUGUACAAAUCGAUUGUAAAACGUGCAUUUGACGAGGCCAGGAGAUCAAGACCAUCCUGGCUAACACAGUGAAAACCCGUCUCUACUAAAAAUACAAAAAAUCAGCCGGGUGUGGUGGCAGGCACCUGUAGUCCCAGCUACUCGGGAGGCUGAGGAAGGAGAAUGGCAUGAACCUGGGAGAUGGAGCUUGCAGUGAGCUGAGAUGGCGCCACUGCACUCCAGCCUGGGCGACAGAGUGAGACUCCAUCUCAAAAAACAAACAAACCAAAAAAAAAAAAAAACGUGUGUUUGAACAAUAAUGAAAUCAGUGCACCUUGAAAAUGAACAGAACAGCGAUUUUAGGGAACAAGGGAAGACAACCAUAAGGUCUGACUGCCUGUGGGUUCGGGCAAAAAGAGCCAUAUUUUUCUUCUUGCAGAGAGCCUAUAAACGGACGUGCAAGUAGGAGAGAUAUCGCUAAAUUCUUUUCCUAACAAGGAAUAUUAAGACCCUAGGAAAAUAAUUGCAUUCCUUGGGGGAGGUCUAUAAAUGCUUGCUCUGGGAGUGUCUGUCUUACGCAGUUGAGAUAAAGACUGAAAUACGCCCUGGUCUCCUGCAGUACCCUCAGGAUUGUUAGGGUGGGGGAAAAAACCACUCCCUGGUAAAUCUGAGGUCAGACUGGUUCUCUGCUCUUGAACCCUGUUUUCUGUUGUUUAAGAUGUUUAUCAAGACAAUACAUGCACAGCUGAACAUAGACCCUUACCAGGAGUUUUUGAUUUUGCCCUUUGCCUUGUGAUCUUUAUUGGCCUCAGAAGCACGUAAUCUUUGUUCUCCCUUUUGCCCUUUGAAGCAUGUGAUCUUUGUGACCUACUCCCUGUUCGUACACCCCCUCCCCUUUUGAAGUCCUUAAUAAAAACCUGCUGGUUGUGCGGCUCAGGUGGGCAUCACGGUCCUACCACUAUGUGAUGUCACCCCUGGCAGCCCAGCUCUAAACUUCCUCUUUGUACUCUAUUUCUCAGACUGGCCGACACUUAGGGAAAAUAGAAAGAACCUACGUUGAAAUAUUGGGGAUGGGUUCCCCCGAUAGUGCUGGGAGGGCAGCACGCCUGCAGUGGACACAGAAGCUCUGAGCCCCAUACCUGUCCUGCUCACCUCUUCCAUUUGGCUGUUCCUUUGUUGUACCCUGUAUAAUAAACUGGUAAUCCCAAGAAUAGUACUUUGCAUCAUUCUAGUAAAUUAUUAAACCUACAGGGGUGGGGCUGAAAACCCCACAAACUUAUAAAUUGGCUGGGCAGAAUUGCGGGUAGCCUGGAAACACCACUUGUGGCUGACGUCUGACGUGGAGACUGAGUCCUUAGCUUUUAGGGUCUGUGCUGACUCCAGGUAGUACCAGAAUUGAAGGACUUUAGGCCAGGCACUGUGGUUCACGCCUGUAAUCCCAGCACUUUGGGAGGCCAAGAUAGGAUCACUUGAGCCCAGGAAUUCGAGACCAGCCUGGGCAACAGGGAGACCCCCCAUCUCUACAAAAAUAAAUUAAUUAAAAAUGGAAGGACUUUGUCCUUAACUUGUGGGAACUGUGUCCAUUCUGACUCUAGGUAGUGUCAGAAUGGAACUGUAGGACAGGCAGCUCGUGUUAGAAAAGGAGACAAGCCUCCAGCAGGUCAGGGAGGCGGCAGCAGGCAGCAUGAACGGUAGCCCAGGCUCCCAUGCAGUUCUCCAGCUCUGCUGUCCCCCUGCAUCUAUCCAUUCCUAUUCUGCAUAUGAAUUUGCUUUUCCCGCCCAACACUCAUUUGCAGACUUCCCAAAUUCCUAAUUCAUCAUCGCUUCUAACCAGAAAACUCUUCUGAGAGCAAGUGUGGCUCUAAGCAUGUGGUUGUACGAUGCCCUCAUCUUACCCCAAACUCCUAUCAGUCAGAAGUAGCUUGCUUAGUGGAUGGUGGAAAGGCCUCCCGAAGGCUCAGUUAUGAUGCCAGAUUGGAGACAAUGCCCUGUCAAUAUGGAUGUUAUAAUACAGGAUGUGGUAUAGGCUUUAACUGAACAAUACCUAGUGCUACUUCUCCCACAGCCAGCAUAUGCUGGCUUGGAAACCUAAGGGCUGCAGAUAGGAAUGGCCCCUCUUACUGUUAUGCCAAGUAACCCCAGAAGGAAUUUUUGCUUCUCAUCUUGUAACUCUGAACUCCACUGUCCCAAGGGAGGACUGCUUCUACCAGGUACGACAAUGGUGGUAUUUUGAACUUUGAACUAGCAGUUGAGACUGCUGCCUGAGCCAACACCCAGGGAUGGAGUUACUGCACUAACUGGUGCUAUUGAUCCCAAUUUUUGAGGGAAACUGGGUGGCUCAUACACAAUGAAAACAGGAACAUCCUUAUCUGCAAUCUAGUGUCUUCACUGGCACCUUUUGGUACCGAGGACUUUCGGCUCAGUGCAGCCUCCGCCUCCUGGGUUCAAGUGAUCCUCCUGCCUCAGCCUCCCGAGUAGCUGGGAUUACAGGGGCCUGCCACCACACCCGGCUAAUUUUUGUAUUUUUAGUAGAGACCGGGUUUUGCCAUGUUGGUUAGGCUGGUCUCAAACUCCUGACCUUGUGAUCUGGCCACCUCGACCUCCCAAAGUGCUGGGAUUACAGGUGUGAGCCACCACACCCGGCUGACAGCUUCUUGGCUUCAAGCUAGAACAGGCUCCUCACAUUCAUGUCCCAUUGUCUUUGAUGAAACGAGGGCAGUUAACUGUAGAAUAGCCCAUGUUCAUCUUUUUCCUCAUGGUUUCAUUUAUUUUUCCUUCAAUAAACUAUAAGUUAGGGCUGGACACAGUGUCUUGAGCCUGUAUUCCCAGCACUUUGGGAGGCCAAGGCAGGAGGAUCACUUGAAGCUAGGGGUUCAAGACCAGUGUGGGCAACAGAGUGAAACUCCAUCUCUACUUAAAAAAAAAAAAAAACAAAAAACAACUAGCUCAAUGUGGCAGUGCGUGCCUGUACUCCCAGCUACUCGGGAGGCAGAGACAGUAGGAUUGCUUGAGCCAGGAGCUUGAAACCAGGCCGGGAAACAAAGUGAAACCUUGUCUCUAAAAGAAAUACGAAAAUUAGUGCCAGGCGUGGUGGUGCGCACCUGUAGUCCCAACUACUCGGGAGGCUAAGCAGGCGGAUCAUUUGGGCUUGGUAGGUCAAGGCUGCAGUGAGUUGUGAUUGUGCCACUGUACUCCAGCCUGGGUGACAGAGCGAGACCUUGUCUCUAAAAAUAAAAAAAUUAUACCCAUCUAGUACAUUUUUGGAUAAAGGGUCCUUGGCUAGGUAUUACUGUCUAGUCUAAGCGAGUAUGAGUGAAACAUAAAAAAGCACAGCCAGCCGGGCGUGGUGGCUCACACCUGUAAUCCCAACACUUUGGGAGGCCGAGGAGGAUGGAUCAUUUGAGGUCAGGAAUUCAAACCAGCCUGGCCAACAUGGUGAAACUCUGUCUCUACUAAAAAUACAAAAAUUAGCUGGGCCUGGUGGUGGGCGCCUGUAAUCCCAGCUACUCAGGAGGCUGAGGCAGGAGAGUUGCUUGAGCCCAGGAGGCGGCGGUUGCAGUGAGCCGAGAUUGCACCAUUGCACUCCAGCCUGGGUGACAGAGGGAGACUCCCAUCUCAAAAACAAAAAGCAUGGCCAUGAGAGGUGGAUACAUAGUGGCAGCAUCUUUAAAAAAAUAAGAAACCAAGUAAGAGUAAACAACAGUCAAGUGGCUAUUCAAGAAUGCUCCGGGUUCCACUGAAAAUUUUUGACUUACGAGUUUAACAUAAACUCUCUGCUCAAUUUUUUAGUCAGUGAGAAAGGCAAACUGAUAAAAUGGAUAAAAUGGAAAAAAAAAACAACACAAGGGCUAUUCACAAACAAAACAGUGAUUAAAUUUUAUUCCUUUUUGAGUUGUUUUGUUUUUAUUUUUAAAUG
Molecule: long non-coding RNA, 10451 nt
Filed under: Homo sapiens (human)
Lineage: Eukaryota; Metazoa; Chordata; Mammalia; Primates; Hominidae
Description: non-protein coding lnc-C21orf58-1:8
Source: RNAcentral